UUUAAUAAAACCUUUAGCCUAAUUGAAGUCAAAGCAACUUGAAGUCUAUGGCCUAAUCGACUGCGGUCGGGUAACAUUUAAUAAAACCUCUGGUCUAACUGAAGUCCACGUUACAUGAAGCCUCUAGCAUAAUCGGAUGUGGCCUGGUCAUGCAAAAUAAAAGUCUCUGACCUCCAUUUAACGUCAACCCCCAUGGGACUCUAAACGUCGGAUAGGUUAGUAAAAC
Molecule: long non-coding RNA, 226 nt
Filed under: Lathyrus oleraceus (garden pea)
Lineage: Eukaryota; Viridiplantae; Streptophyta; Magnoliopsida; Fabales; Fabaceae
Description: Pisum sativum (pea) long non-coding RNA (PSAT_LNC033342)
Source: RNAcentral